RNAcentral lists this ribosomal RNA (506 nucleotides) under uncultured bacterium. RNAcentral's name for it is "partial 16S ribosomal RNA". It matches the Rfam family "Bacterial small subunit ribosomal RNA", at positions 28 to 523 of the family's 1533-position model. The record is from RNAcentral.
GAUGAACGCUAGCUACAGGCUUAACACAUGCAAGUCGAGGGGUAACGAGAGGAAAGCUUGCUUUCCUUGUCGACGACCGGCGCACGGGUGAGUAACGCGUAUCCAACCUGCCCCCAACUAAGGAAUAACCUUGCGGAAGUAAGACUAAUACCUUAUAAUUUCCUCAGAUGUCAUCUGACGAGGAAUAAAGAUUUAUCGGUUGUGGAUGGGGAUGCGUCUGAUUAGCUUGUUGGCGGGGUAACGGCCCACCAAGGCAACGAUCAGUAGGGGUUCUGAGAGGAACGUCCCCCACAUUGGAACUGAGACACGGUCCAAACUCCUACGGGAGGCAGCAGUGAGGAAUAUUGGUCAAUGGGCGAAAGCCUGAACCAGCCAAGUAGCGUGCAGGAUGACGGCCCUAUGGGUUGUAAACUGCUUUUAUACAGGAAUAAAGUUAGCCACGUGUGGUUAUUUGUAGGUACUGUAUGAAUAAGGACCGGCUAAUUCCGUGCCAGCAGCCGCGGUAA